Molecule: non-coding RNA, 113 nt
Filed under: Scyphosphaera apsteinii
Lineage: Eukaryota; Haptophyta; Coccosphaerales; Pontosphaeraceae
Source: RNAcentral
GCCCUCUGGCGAUGCCACAGAAACGCUACGACGCACAAUGAGGGAGGGUGUGGCACGUGGCAGAGGCACCGCCGAAAUGUACAUCUUGCGCGGUGCAAAUCACAUGGUCUUUU